This 934-nucleotide long non-coding RNA is filed under the name Varroa destructor (honeybee mite). RNAcentral describes it as "uncharacterized LOC111252374, transcript variant X1". Lineage: Eukaryota; Metazoa; Arthropoda; Arachnida; Mesostigmata; Varroidae. The record is from RNAcentral.
CGUCGCAGAGGGUGUCACUCAAAAUGGUCAAAAGCUGACUGUCGUCAUCCAAUUCGCCGCUCGUCAGCGGCCACAACGGUAGCAGCUGCGGCUCGGUUCAGCUGAUCGUCGUCAGCCGCUGCACGCGCCGCUGCUGGCGUCCGCUCUCUUUGGCUGUGGUCGCGCUACCACAGCAGCCGAUGCUCGGUCAGCGGCUGCUACAAACAGCUGAGAGCUGAAACUACUGGUAGCAACGGACCGGAAGUUCACUAAAAGCUAGCAAUGUCGACGGAACGACGGGCAUACAAAGAUAAACGCAGCGCACCAUAGAGUACAGUACCCAUUGCGGUUCCUUCUAGUCGAGCGCGGCAGGGUAGUACUGCAUGGCGCAGAUUAAGUCGCUUGCUAGAUCAUAAGGAUACGAAAGAGACCUACAGAAGAAACACUUCCAGGAAAAGUGAUGAGACGCGAAUGAAGAAGCGGAGCAAGCAGUUUUGUGACUGAAGCGAACUCCGUAAGUGGCUUAUUACAAGCCAUCUGCUCAUCGUUUGCAAAUGUAAUGGUUACAGAGGAGUCGAUCGAUAAUGGCACACAUACAUAUAUACGAUACGCGUCUAUGAGACGAAAAAGUUCACCGUACACUAUCACAGUGGAAGGGAAACCUGUAACGUGGCAAUCGUUCUUUGCCAGAGUUUUCUAGUGCCUUUAUGGUCGCUAGUUACGUGGCCGUAGCAACGAUUCGCUGCUGCUGGAGAUGGGCCUUUCAUGUUUGAUAAUUUGCAGAAGGAGCUGAUACUAGCCAAUGGUUCAGGCAAUACAAUGAAUGGCAAGUUGACAAGGUACUAAUUAACAUUCGCUGCGAGAUGGGAUACAACUGCCACUGCUGCUGCUGAUACUAUGCUACGCCGUAGUCACGGGGUCGUCCAGGAUUCGUCCAAAUUACUGUUGCGGUAGG